UGCCCGAGAGAAAUUCUACAGCCCAUGAUGU
Molecule: non-coding RNA, 31 nt
Filed under: Rattus norvegicus (Norway rat)
Lineage: Eukaryota; Metazoa; Chordata; Mammalia; Rodentia; Muridae
Source: RNAcentral